GUCCCUGGUCGGCGGGGUGCCGCCGGGCACCCUCUCAAGGUGGGAACACGGGUUCGAAUCCCGUUGGGGCUG
Molecule: transfer RNA, 72 nt
Filed under: Actinomycetota bacterium
Lineage: Bacteria; Bacillati; Actinomycetota
Description: tRNA-Glu
Source: RNAcentral